This is a non-coding RNA of Acinetobacter sp. ANC 4218, 384 nucleotides long. The record is from Rfam. NCBI's taxonomy places the organism in Bacteria, Pseudomonadati, Pseudomonadota, Gammaproteobacteria, Moraxellales, Moraxellaceae.
GAAGUGAGCCAGACGAUCGCUGCUGUGGAGAUCUCCGUGAUUGAAGCAGGGGAGGAAAGUCCGGGCUUCGUAGGGCAGGGUGCCAGGUAACGCCUGGGCGGUGAAAGCCGACGGCAAGUGCAGCAGAGAGUAGACCGCCAUCUUUGCAAUUUUCCUUCGGGGAGACCAAGAGAGAUGGUAAGGGUGAAAGGGUGCGGUAAGAGCGCACCGCGUGUCUGGUAACAGUUCACGGCAAGGUAAACCCCACCAGAAGCAAGACCAAAUAGGAAUCCUUCAGGCACGGCCCGUGCUGGAUUCGGGUAGGUCGCUUGAGCGUACGAGUGAUUGUACGCCUAGAGGAAUGAUCGUUCACGACAGAACCCGGCUUAUCGGCUCACUUCACCA